UUUAGCGCCAGCUGCCACAGAAACAGACUAUUAACGUUGAGUUGCUUAUCAGGGGAAAUCUUUCGUUGGUAUUUUCAAACGUUGUGCCGUGUUUUGUAACGUUGAUACAAACGUUAAAGAUACACUAAUGUUCAAUAAGAUAAGUUAAUAUUCUGUUGAUACGAUUAGGCAUAUUUGUUGCUGCACAAACCAUUAAGUGUAACGUUAAGUUAGUGUAACGAGGGUUAUUCAAUUCUGUAAUACUCCCUUUUAAUCUCUUUUAUAUCGCUGAUAGUGGUAACAGUCAGCAGAUGGUGGUGGGCUAACGGCGGAUAACGGCUAACUGUUAGCUAACAUUAGUUGACUCAAAGAAGGGAUGUUUGUUAGUUCCCAUGGUAACGGGCUUUAAAGCUGCGUGUGUAAAGCUGAUGAUACACGGAGCAACUUUUAGAGCAAUCGAUUGUUGUAAAGAUUACUACCGUAAUCCCCCUCCCCCACCGUUGCGCCACCCGCCCCGCACCGCCCCUAUCCGUUCAAUACAUUGUCAGACUUGCCACUACCAAGAUUGCCCAGCAACAUUGCUCAAAAAGUUGCCCCGUGUAUCAUCAGCUUAAGGGAGUAUUAAAUAUGAACAACAUAAACUUAUGAAAGUAACGCAAAUGUACACCUUACAUCUAUCAAAUACAGGUAAAAUUACUGACAAAAUAAAAUUACAAGAUUUUGCUAUCAGACAUAGUAAUUUAACCAUUUAAAACUCAAAUUAUGUAUGUAGUGAACACGCAAGAGGCAUAUGUUACAUUAGCUAGUGUAGCCUUAUGUCAAACGAUUCUAUGCAAGUGCACUGCAAUGGAAGCAAACAGUACUGUAAAGUUAGGUUAAUUGUUGCUUUAAUUUAAGCUAUUUAUCAUUAUUUAUUAUAUAUAUCUUAGUGAAUUUGUGAACUUGUAUUUUUAUAAACUGUUAACAAUUUAACAUCCCUGCUAGUGUAGCUACUGUUCUUUUUAUCUGGUAUUUAUAUUAUGUUUAUUUAAAGUUAGCAGAAAUUAUUAAUUUAUGUUUCUAACUUUUGUCGUCACUAGGCAGCAGAUAGGGCUAUCGGCUAAUAUUUAUCCUAGUUUUUUAAUUUCAUUUUUCUCUCUCUUUGUGUCAAACCACAGCGGUGUUUCAGACUGCUCCUUUGGGAUCUGAGAGACCCCACAAAUGUUGAUGUGGACCAACAAAUUGUCACACAGCUCUCUGUAACGUGAUGGAUGACUGUGAAGAUGGCAGACUGGAAAAAGGGCCAUGCUUAGACCAACACUCCUGGCAUCUCAAUACCUAAAAUGGCACGUUAAGGCUUCAGGGAAGGUCAUCCUAUGCAGUGUGACCACAUUUGGCUCACACUUGAUGGCCAGUUUAUCACAGAAGAGAGCGAGGACAUCUCGAUGGCACUGGGCAUCCUCCUGUGUGUAUAUUUUGUUUGGAAUCCAGCAUCCUAAAGGACUGAAGAAGACACUGACCUUUUUGGAGUGUGUUGUAUUGAAAUUAAGGAUGCAGUCGGACUUCCUGUCACAGUAAAGAGUAUACAAAUUAAUCUGUGAGUGGACUGUAGGACUCAAUAUUCUCUCUUUCUGGAUGGCCUGUUGAAGAGAACAAGGACUUUUCCACUGAACUGGGCCUCUUCCAGUUUCUAUUUUUGAAAUCCUGAAGGACUUACAAACAUGUUAUUGUGCUGUUGACAAUGAACGAUACUGCAGGACUUCAACUGCAUUAGCCAGUUGCAGUAAUUUCACAAAUGUACUAAUUUAAUGUUAAAAGACUAUAGAUUUUCUAAAUAUAGUGAAGAACUAAAGUAGGCUUAUACAGGAAUAGGCCAAAAAGAGACCUGCCUACUGGGCUACAGAAAAUGUUUGUUUUUACUUAUUUUAAAAUGUACACAUUAUAGCUUGUUAUCUAUAUAAGGAGAGUAUAUUGUGAUGUUGUGUAUAUAUUUAUCUAUUUGUUUUUUUCCUGACUUGACAACUCUUUAAUUUACUUUCUGUUGAAAUAAUACAUUAAAAGGUUUUAAAAGGGUAA
Molecule: long non-coding RNA, 2034 nt
Organism: Micropterus salmoides (largemouth bass)
Lineage: Eukaryota; Metazoa; Chordata; Actinopteri; Centrarchiformes; Centrarchidae
Exons: 3
Source: RefSeq, a predicted model, not a curated record